CCCAAUGAUGGAAAUUUAAUGGCCGCGGUAUAUUGACCGUGCGAAGGUAACAUAAUAAUUUGUCUUUUAAUUGAGGACUAGUAUAAAUGGUCGAACAAAAAGUUAGCUGUCUCUGAGUUAUGUCUUGAAUUUAACAUUUAAGUGAAAAGGCUUAAAUAAUUUAAGGGGACGAUAAGACCCUAUAAAUCUUUAUAUUAAUUUGUUGUUAAAUUGGAAAGUAGAAUUAAUUCCGGGUUUAAUAAUUUUGAAUAUUUUGUUGGGGAGACAGAAGUGUAAAUAAAUAACUACUUUAAAAANAAAGUUAAUGAUAUUUAAUGAGGAGAUCCUUUACUAAGGAUUGUAGAANAAGUUACUUUAGGGAUAACAGCGUAAUUUCUUUUGAGAGUCCAUAUCGAAAAGGAAGCUUGCGACCUCGAUGUUGAAUUAAAGAUCCUAUAAUGGCGCAGAAGUUAUAAAA
Molecule: ribosomal RNA, 457 nt
Filed under: Thenus parindicus
Lineage: Eukaryota; Metazoa; Arthropoda; Malacostraca; Decapoda; Scyllaridae
Description: partial 16S ribosomal RNA
Rfam family: Archaeal large subunit ribosomal RNA
Source: RNAcentral